Molecule: ribosomal RNA, 253 nt
Filed under: uncultured bacterium
Lineage: Bacteria
Description: partial 16S ribosomal RNA
Rfam family: Bacterial small subunit ribosomal RNA
Source: RNAcentral
UACGUAGGGUGCAAGCGUUAUCCGGAAUCAUUGGGUUUAAAGGGUCCGUAGGCGGUUUAGUAAGUCAGUGGUGAAAGCCCAUCGCUCAACGGUGGAACGGCCAUUGAUACUGCUAGACUUGAAUUAUUAGGAAGUAACUAGAAUAUGUAGUGUAGCGGUGAAAUGCUUAGAGAUUACAUGGAAUACCAAUUGCGAAGGCAGGUUACUACUAAUGGAUUGACGCUGAUGGACGAAAGCGUGGGUAGCGAACAGG